This 484-nucleotide ribosomal RNA is filed under the name uncultured bacterium. RNAcentral's name for it is "partial 16S ribosomal RNA". It matches the Rfam family "Bacterial small subunit ribosomal RNA", at positions 30 to 507 of the family's 1533-position model. The record is from RNAcentral.
AUUGAACGCUGGCGGCAGGCCUAACACAUGCAAGUCGAGCGGAUGAAGGGAGCUUGCUCCUGGAUUCAGCGGCGGACGGGUGAGUAAUGCCCAGGAAUCUGCCUGGUAUUGGGGGAUAACGUCCGGAAACGGGCGCUAAUACCGCAUACGUCCUGAUGUAGAAAGUGGGGGAUCUUCGGACCUCACGCUACCAGAUGAGCCUAGGUGGGAUUAGCUAGUUGGUGGGGUAAAGGCCUACCAAGGCGACGAUCCGUAACUGGUCUGAGAGGAUGAUCAGUCACACUGGAACUGAGACACGGUCCAGACUCCUACGGGAGGCAGCAGUGGGGAAUAUUGGACGAUGGGCGAAAGCCUGAUCCAGCCACGCCGCGUGUGUGAAGAAGGUCUUCGGAUUGUAAAGCUCUUUAAGUUGGGAGGAAGGGCAGUAAGUUUAACCCUUGCUGUUUUGACGUUACCAACAGAAUAAGCCCCGGCUAACUUCGUG